AUGACGUUCGGGUCUGUCAUCGAGAGGAACGUGGCGCGGCCACUCAUGAGGCUGGUCACCAUGGGCGGCGCGCCGAUCCUGCAGCAGCUCCACCUGGAGGAACGGCUGCUGCGCCGCACCAGCGAUAACUGGUGCAUCGUCAACGAUGGCACGGCUCCGCCCACCAUUGUCAUGGGUGUCUCUGGGAAGGUCUCUGAGCUUGUCGACAUACGGCCUGUGCUUCAAGAUCAUGUGCCGGUGGUAAGGCGGUUCAGUGGAGGUGGCACUGUCAUUGUUGAUCAAGGCACAGUCUUCGUCACCUUCAUAUGCAACAAGACUGCCGUCGGUGGGUUGCAGCCGUUUCCCCGCGACAUCAUGUCAUGGACAGGCCAGCUGUAUGGUAAAGUCUUCCGUGGAUUCGGCGAAUUUCAUCUGCGUGAAAAUGACUAUGCAUUCGAUCAUCGAAAGUUUGGUGGAAAUGCUCAGUCCAUAACGAAAGAUCGUUGGGUACACCACACAUCAUUCUUAUGGGAUUAUGAUGUGAAAAAUAUGAGUUAUCUAAAAAACCCACAACGUGCUCCUGAAUAUCGCCAGGCGAGGGACCACACUGAUUUCCUGUGCCGCAUGAACGAGUACGUGCCAUCACGGUCAGUGUUCACCGAAGGGAUAACCGCGGCCCUCGGAGACCACUUUACGGUCCAACACACAGAGCUAGAAACAGCACUCUCGGACCACGAUGACUUCGUGCCUUCUACGAAGGUGCUAUCGCCGCAGGACUUACAAGACAUCAUCUCCUCAAAAGAGCCCCCCACAGCACAGAGAGGUGAAGGAUGGCCACGGUGA
RNAcentral lists this ribosomal RNA (822 nucleotides) under Triticum aestivum (bread wheat). RNAcentral describes it as "partial small subunit ribosomal RNA". The record is from RNAcentral. Lineage: Eukaryota; Viridiplantae; Streptophyta; Magnoliopsida; Poales; Poaceae.